This 254-nucleotide ribosomal RNA is filed under the name uncultured bacterium. RNAcentral describes it as "partial 16S ribosomal RNA". It matches the Rfam family "Bacterial small subunit ribosomal RNA", at positions 524 to 776 of the family's 1533-position model. RNAcentral also lists the same sequence under 1 other name. The record is from RNAcentral.
GACAGAGGGUGCAAACGUUGUUCGGAAUUACUGGGCGUAAAGCGCGUGUAGGCGGCUCUCGCAAGUCGGGUGUGAAAGCCCUGGGCUCAACCUAGGAAGUGCACUCGAAACUGCGAAGCUUGAAGUCUGGAGAGGAACGCGGAAUUCUCGGUGUAGAGGUGAAAUUCGUAGAUAUCGAGAGGAACACCGGUGGCGAAGGCGGCGUUCUGGACAGCACUUGACGCUGAGACGCGAAAGCGUGGGGAGCAAACAGG